Molecule: transfer RNA, 69 nt
Filed under: Culex quinquefasciatus (southern house mosquito)
Lineage: Eukaryota; Metazoa; Arthropoda; Insecta; Diptera; Culicidae
Description: tRNA-Val
Source: RNAcentral
CUGCUCGUGAGUCGCUGGUAGGCAAUUGGACUAACAAUCCAAAGGUCGUCAGUUCGAAUCCCGGGAUGA